AUGUCCUCUUACUGUUUUUUGGAGGAGGACCUCCGUCUCCACCCAGAAAAGCACACAACAGAGGUACACACUGUCUGCAGACUGGAGCACCAGCUGCUGGCUGCCUUUACAAAAAAACAUAUUUCAUGCCAACACAAAAUGAAGACGUGCACACUACAACGUUAGUUUGUUCCAUUAUCCAACUUGUCUCAUGGAAACUGAACACGGAAGUGGAGAGCCGGAAACAGAGACAGCUCGUCUUCAAAAUAAAGGUUGCGCGUUUUGAACAAACGUGCUGGCUGCAGCCGUUAAGGAGAGUUAAGCUAAAUAAAUAAACUGUUCAUAUAAUGAACAUCAUUCAUAACGGGGUUUUCCGCUAGCCUACAACUGAUUGGGAAUUAAUUGCCAAUGAACACUGGAAAUUUUUAUGGGGUUCAUGUAGCUAUUCAUCAACUUAUUAAUUUGAUUAAGGUUACUUAAUCUCUUAUUUUGGACAUUUUUAUAAAUGUUUACACAGAUAAUAAAGACAUACUGUUGGACGUGGCGUCACAUGACUGCUGGGCUGAAGAGCAGCAAGAGAACAGGUGUGCUAACUGGGCAGGUCAUACAGGUGCCUAGAUUGUUCUUUGUUCUGUGUCCUGAGUUCAUUCUGUGUUUGCACUUCAGCUGAGCUGGUUCCUUCUGUCAUUUCACCUUUAUCUUGAGUGUGUUGAGUGAGUUUAUUUCAUUAUAAUUCCUCAAGUCAUGUUUAUUUUGAUGUAAAGUAGUGGUUUGUUCUCACACUUCUCAAUCCUGGGACACAGAGCGAAAAAUAGGUGUAAGCAUUAAGGUUUCAGGAAUAUGAAAAACAUGUUCAAAAACUACAAGUUGCAGAGCACUUGCUACCACUGUGGUUGCUGAACAAUUUGGCGAUGAGUGGAGGAAAGGCCGGAGUAUUUGUACAGUGGUUGAUGAGGUAAUGGUAUGCAGGUGUGGUACUCUCCAGAGCCAGGUAGGGGAAACCGCGCCCACAUCACCUACACACACAGCUCGCUGGUGCUGCUUAUCACAGGGCUACCUGGGUUACCAAUGUUGGUAUCAUGUACGGGCCAGGGGCUUAUUGCUCACCUGCCCCGAGGGCUCUGAGGGCCUUUACAGGAUGGCAGCCGGAUUAAUGAGGCCACAUCUUUGAGGUGGACCCUGGAUGUACCUGCCGUCUCAUAUAGGCGUAGCGGUCCUAGCUAGAUGGAAGCACAGGAUGUUCGGCCUGACUGAUGCCAAGUUGAUCCAGAGGAUCUCAUGGGAGGAGUGGAGGCUCCUCUCUCAGAGGAGGACACAUAGGGCAGAGGAGACGGCCCUCCUCAUCCAGGAUCUCAUGUCAACCUGGAUGUCCCAUUGCUUGAUUCCCUCUGUAUCAAGGACAUUUGGAGUAAACAGAGGUACCACCUAUGGUGCAUUCAGGACCCACCAGGUGUGCAACUGUACCAGUUCAUCCCAGGUACAUGAGUGUAUGUCAUAGCUUAUGAUUAGGUAUAUUGUGCAUUAUAAUUUCAUGUAAACAAAAUUAAUUUUUGAUCAGUCACGAACUUAGUUCACAGUAAAUUACUUUUAUAUAUAGAAAUGAAAGUAAUGAAAUGGUACGAUGGCUGGCUCAGCUUUUGUGUGCCCAGCAUGACAGCGGUAAAAACCGUGAGAUCUCCCCGUCACCCAUUAAUCAUUAGCUGGUUUGUUGGACCUGUGCCACAUAUAGACUCCACCUGUCCCAUUACUCUACACUACCACCCGUGAUAUGGCUUGACCUAGACUACACAUAUAAAGAACCAUAAAUACAGAGCUAAUAGAUGGCUCCUAAAAUAUUAUAUUACAUUAUUGUCUUUGAAAAUAUUUCUAAAUCUGCACUUUGUUUGAAAGCAUUAUUAUUAUUAUUGUUGAUGGUUUCAUUUUGCAUUACAUGACUUGUAACAUGUAUGAGGGACAUAACAUGUAAUUGUAAUUGAUCAAUAAAACACCAUGUGGUUUACUCAUA
Seriola aureovittata is the source of this 1984-nucleotide long non-coding RNA. RefSeq lists it as uncharacterized. NCBI's taxonomy places the organism in Eukaryota, Metazoa, Chordata, Actinopteri, Carangiformes, Carangidae. The record is from RefSeq and is a predicted model, not a curated record. The transcript has 2 exons.